GCUGGGCGCGGUGGCUCACGCCUGUAAUCCUAGCACUUUGGGAGGCUGAGGCGGGCGGAUCACCUGAGGUCAGGAGUUCGAGACCAGCCUGGCCAACAUGGUGAUACCCCAUCUCUA
RNAcentral lists this non-coding RNA (117 nucleotides) under Nomascus leucogenys (northern white-cheeked gibbon). Lineage: Eukaryota; Metazoa; Chordata; Mammalia; Primates; Hylobatidae. The record is from Rfam by way of RNAcentral.